Molecule: ribosomal RNA, 702 nt
Filed under: Bacillus safensis
Lineage: Bacteria; Bacillati; Bacillota; Bacilli; Caryophanales; Bacillaceae
Description: bacterial SSU rRNA
Rfam family: Bacterial small subunit ribosomal RNA
Source: RNAcentral
UUAGCGGCGGACGGGUGAGUAACACGUGGGUAACCUGCCUGUAAGACUGGGAUAACUCCGGGAAACCGGAGCUAAUACCGGAUAGUUCCUUGAACCGCAUGGUUCAAGGAUGAAAGACGGUUUCGGCUGUCACUUACAGAUGGACCCGCGGCGCAUUAGCUAGUUGGUGGGGUAAUGGCUCACCAAGGCGACGAUGCGUAGCCGACCUGAGAGGGUGAUCGGCCACACUGGGACUGAGACACGGCCCAGACUCCUACGGGAGGCAGCAGUAGGGAAUCUUCCGCAAUGGACGAAAGUCUGACGGAGCAACGCCGCGUGAGUGAUGAAGGUUUUCGGAUCGUAAAGCUCUGUUGUUAGGGAAGAACAAGUGCGAGAGUAACUGCUCGCACCUUGACGGUACCUAACCAGAAAGCCACGGCUAACUACGUGCCAGCAGCCGCGGUAAUACGUAGGUGGCAAGCGUUGUCCGGAAUUAUUGGGCGUAAAGGGCUCGCAGGCGGUUUCUUAAGUCUGAUGUGAAAGCCCCCGGCUCAACCGGGGAGGGUCAUUGGAAACUGGGAAACUUGAGUGCAGAAGAGGAGAGUGGAAUUCCACGUGUAGCGGUGAAAUGCGUAGAGAUGUGGAGGAACACCAGUGGCGAAGGCGACUCUCUGGUCUGUAACUGACGCUGAGGAGCGAAAGCGUGGGGAGCGAACAGGAUUA